Molecule: ribosomal RNA, 263 nt
Filed under: uncultured bacterium
Lineage: Bacteria
Description: partial 16S ribosomal RNA
Rfam family: Bacterial small subunit ribosomal RNA (bases 36-263)
Source: RNAcentral
CGUUCUUUUCGUUUCGUCGUCGGCGACCGGCGCGAGGUGAGUAACACGUAUCCAACCUGCCCUUUACUCGGGGAUAGCCUUUCGAAAGAAAGAUUAAUACCCGAUAGCAUAAUGAUUCCGCAUGGUUUCAUUAUUAAAGGAUUCCGGUAAAGGAUGGGGAUGCGUUCCAUUAGGUUGUUGGUGGGGUAACGGCCCACCAAGCCUUCGAUGGAUAGGGGUUCUGAGAGGAAGGUCCCCCACAUUGGAACUGAGACACGGUCCAA